GGGCGCACGGGGUCGGGGGCGUGGUCCCGCAACCUGGGACCCUCCCCGGGGCGCCAUCUCCCGGCCCCGCCCCCGCGCUGAGAGCUUUGAGGCCGAGGGUCAAGCGGUCCUGGGAGACGCUGGCCGCUCUAGAGCCUGCUUCCAGAUGGAAAAAAGUAGGGGACAGGAAAUGAAGCAAAACAAGUUGUCACCGCUCUCAUGUGAGGGUUGGGAUCAAGAUAAUGGAAUAACGGGACGUGGAACUCACCUCUCCCUCAUGAAGAUAUUAAAAAUAUCUCCAUAUGAUGAAAAUUUUCACUGGGAGCUGGCAGAAGGACUUCUGUACAACCAAUACUGAAUGCACCCAUGGCAUAUGGGUCGAAGAGGAGUUGUAGUCACUGGCCUGCACCACAGUCACAGCAAUGUAAGAUCCAAGCUGCAUCUGAGACCUACACCAUAGCUCAUGGCAACACUGGAUCCUUAACCCACUGAGCAAGGCCAGAGAUUGAAUCUGCGUCCUCAUGGAUGCUAGUCAGAUUCGUUGUUGCUGAGCCAUGAUAGGAACUGCUAUUUAUUACUUUUUUGCAAUGUAAAUUUUAUAAUAAGCUUGUCUAGUCUACACAAGUUUUUCUUUUUGGAAUCUUGAUAGAAAUUACAUUAAACCUGUAAAUCGAUUUGGUUAUAACUGUCUUUACUAUGUUGAAUCUUCCAAUACAUGAAAAUCAUAUUUCCAUUUAUUUACAUUUUUAAUUUCUUUUAUCAGCAAUUCAUAACUUUCAGCAUAUAGAUCCUGUAUGUGGUUAAGUUUGUGAAUAAGAUAGGAGAAAUCACUCUACGUAACACUAAGACCUGUUAAAGACCAUCUAAGUCUUUCAUUUUCUUUGAAGUGAUCAUAAGUGGUAUCGCAUGUCUAAUUUUGUUUUCUAAAUGCUCAUUGUUAGCAUUUGGAAAUCCUGUUGAUUUUUACAUCUCAAUCUGUAUCAUGUGACCUUGCUGAAGUCAUUCAGUUCUAGGAGUUUUCUUUAUUGGUAUGUAGAUUUCUUGGGAUUUUCAAUGUGGAUAUACCUGUCAAGAUAUACCAAAUUUGAUAUGUUUUCAGCCAUUUUUGAAUACUUUAGAAAUACAGAUCAAUAUAACAACGAACUAGAAACUAUAUAGAAACCAAUCAAAAUUAGACACCUCAAUUGCCAAGAUAAAAACUAAUCUAAAAGCAAUGAAUAGCAAACUAAAUUAUGCAGAAUAAUGAAUAAGUGACCUGGUUGAUAGAAUAAUGGAAAUUGCACAAUUAGAACAUCAGACAGAAAGUCAAAUAAAAAAAAAAUGAAACAAAUAUACAAGAUCUAUGGGAUAGUUCUAUAUUUAGUUUUCUGAGGUAUUUCCAUACUGUUUUCCAUAGUGGUUGUACCAGUUUACAUUCCCACCAGCAGUGUUGGAGGGGUCUCUUUUCUCCACACUCUAUCCAGCAUUUAUUUGUUGACUUGUUAAUAAUGGCCACUUUGGUGUGAGGUGGUACCUCAUUAUAGUUUUGAUUUGCAUUUCUACAAUAAUUAGUGAUGUUGAGCAUUCUUUCAUGUGCCUGCUGACCAUCUGUAUGUCUUCUUUGGUGAAAUGUCUAUUCAGGUUUCUGCCCAUUUUUCAACUGGGUUGUUUGCUUUUUUGUUGUUGAAUUGUAUGAAUUGUUUGCAUAUUUUGGAGAUUAAACCUUUGCAGGUUGAGCCAUUUGCAAAAGUUUUCUCCCAUUCUAUGGUUGUCUUUUCAUUUUUUUAGUGGCUUCCUUUGCUGUGCAGAAACUUUUGAGUUUAAUUAGGUCCCAUUGAUUUAUUAGUGUCUUUAUUCUCUUUAUUAUGGGAGGUGGGUCAACAAGAUAUUGCUGUGAUUUAUGCCAAAGAGCAUUCUGCCUGUUUUUCUCUAGGAGUUUUAUAGUGUGUGGCCUUACAUUUAUGUCUUUAAUACAUUUUGAGUUUAUUUCUGUGUAUGGUUUUAUACAAUGUUCUAAUUUCUUUCUCUUACAUGCAGUUGUCCAGUUUUCCCAGCACCACUUAUUGAACAGACUAUGUUUUCUCCACUGUAAGUUUUUACCUCCUUUGUCACAGAUUAAUUGACCAUAGGUGUUUGGGUUUAUUUCUGGGCUUUCUAUGCUGUUCCAUUGAUCUAUAUUUCCAUUUUUCUGCCAGUACCAUACUAUCUUGAUGACUGUAGCUUUGUAGUAGAGUCUGAAGCCAGGGAGCCCGAUUCCUCUGGUUCCAUAUUUUUCUUUUUGACAUAGCUCUACAUUUUUGAGGUCUUUUGUGUUUCUAUACAAAUUUUAAAAUAUUUUGUUCUAGUUCUGUAAAGAACAUCAUUGGUAAUUUGAUAGGAAUUGCAUUGAAUCUAUAAAUUGCAUUAGGUAGUAUUGUCAUUUUUUCUAUAUUGAUUCUUUCAAUCCAAGAGCAUGUUAUGUUUUCCCA
Molecule: long non-coding RNA, 2426 nt
Filed under: Sus scrofa (pig)
Lineage: Eukaryota; Metazoa; Chordata; Mammalia; Artiodactyla; Suidae
Description: lncRNA (ENSSSCG00045026804.1, ENSSSCG00160022876.1)
Source: RNAcentral